AAAGUAUUCUGAGGAAAAUUCUAAUUUGGCAUCAAUUUCUUAGAACCCUGGACUGUCAACAACAUGCAGCAAAUCUACAGAUAGAGAGCUACACUUUACUACCAGUGGAUCUGAUGACAGAAAGAAAUCACUGACCAUAUGGUGGCACUCCAAAGAGAAGAAAAUAUCCAAGCCAGUAGCUGCAUCAGGACAGAAGAGUGUCAAAGUGAACUGAGGACAUUAGUACCCCAUGGGCAAAGACAGUUACCAGAAUUGUUUGGAUCACAAUCAGAUGGACGGUUUCCUUCCCUGGCUCCCAGUGCCACUCUUUUUAAAUUGUGAAUAUAAAAUUGGGGCAACCUGGUAAAGCUAAAAGCAUAUGGAAUCAUGCUAGAGAGACGUGGUUGUGAAUCUCUGCUCAUCUAUUAAGUGGAAGCUUUUUCCAUGAAAUGGUCAUAAUAAUCUCUAUUUCAUCGCACUUUUGUGAAGUCUGAAAAAUGUAAUGAAAGUCUGAAUAAAAUGUCAAGUAUGGUUCCUAACUCUUAGUGG
RNAcentral lists this long non-coding RNA (528 nucleotides) under Felis catus (domestic cat). RNAcentral's name for it is "lncRNA (ENSFCAG00000042081.2)". The record is from RNAcentral. Lineage: Eukaryota; Metazoa; Chordata; Mammalia; Carnivora; Felidae.